Non-coding RNA from Microcebus murinus (gray mouse lemur), 2230 nucleotides. The record is from RefSeq and is a predicted model, not a curated record. NCBI's taxonomy places the organism in Eukaryota, Metazoa, Chordata, Mammalia, Primates, Cheirogaleidae.
UUCUUUACACUAAAUUUAGUUUUGUGAAUUUUGAAUAAUAAACUUUUUAUUUAAAAUUUUUUGUUUUAAUCCCUCUCUGUAUAUCAGUGUUCAAACCUCUAGAAGCAGAACGAGUAGGGGAGUGUGUGUGCGCACCAAAUGUAUAUUAAUUAUGAUAAUUAUAUGGGGAGACACAUAUGUGAUUUAUUACAAGGAAUUGGCUGUGUGAAUGUGGGCGCUGGCUAAGCAAGUGUGCAAUUUUUAGUGUUGUCAGGAUGGAAAGACCACAUCAAAGGCAGGCAGGAACUCACAGGCAUGGGCCAAAGCUAUUGUGCACAGACAGUCAGAAAAGGAAGAUCACAAGCAGAAUGGAACUCCACAUGUACAGGUGGAAGCUGCUGUCCACAGAAGGAAUUUCUUCUCUUUUUUGGGGAUGCCUAAGUCCUGCUUUUAAGGACUUUGCACUAGUUCAACCAGUCCGACAUAGAUUACCUAGGAUAAUGUGCCUUCCUUCAAUUCAGCUGAUUAAGGACUGUGAUUACAUUUGCAAAAUACCUUCACAGCAACAUCUCAAUUAUAUUUGAUUGAAUAACUGGGGACUGUAGCCUAUCCAGGAUGACAUAUCAAAAAAGCUAUCAUACUGAUUAAAGAUGGCAAAACUUGACCUGAAAUUUACAUGAAUAACUACUUAAGAGUAGCCAAGGAAUUUAUGAGAAAGAACAACAGUGAGGAAAACGACUUGCUUACUAGGUAUCAAAGUAGAGCCAUAAAUCAGUACAAUAUUGACUAGAUUAGUGCAACAGAAGGAGAAUCCAGAAAUAGAGCCCAGGACAUAUUUGAGAAUUUGAAACUAAACUAAUUUUAAUUUAAUGAGAAAAAGGAUAGAUUAUCGGUCCCCACCCCGGGGACCGCCGCCACCCGCCUCCCAUCAUGGAUCUGAAGAGAAUCCACUAGGAAUUGAAUGACCUGGCACAGGAUCCCCCAGCACAAUGUUCAGCAGGUCCUGUUGGAGAUGACAUGUUCCAUUGGCAAGCUACAAUAAUGGGGCCAAAUGACAGUCCAUAUCAGGGUGGAGUAUUUUUCUUGACAAUUAAUUUCCCAACAGAUUACCCCUUCAAACCACCUAAGGUUGCAUUUACAACAAGAAUUUAUCAUCCAAAUAUUAACAGUAAUGGCAGCAUUUGUCUUGAUAUUCUACGGUCACAGUGGUCUCUAGCACUAACUAUUUCAAAAGUACUCUUGUCCAUCUGUUCUCUGUUGUGUGAUCCCAAUCCAGAUGAUCCUUUAGUGCCUGAGAUUGCUCGGAUCUACAAAACAGAUAGAGAAAAGUACAACAGAAUAGCUGGGGAAUGGACUCAGAAGUAUGCGAUGUAAUUAAAGAAAUUAUUGGAUAACCUCUACAAAUAAAGAUAGGGGAACUCUGAAAGAAAAAGUCCUUUUGAUUUCCAUUUGACUGCUUUCUAUGAGCCCACGCCUCAUCUUCCCCUGUGCACAUGUUUACCUGAUACAGCAGUGCUGCGUGUUGUACAUACUUGGAACAACAAACUAGAAAUACUGUACUUCUGUACCAACAUUGUCUCCUAGCAGAGAAGUGUGUGUGUGACAAGCCAUUUCUCCAGGCGUAACCUAGGUGUGAGACUAAAAGCUUUCCUUAUUGACUUAAAUUUGGAUAAUGGCAAGGUGUGAGGGGUGGUGGGUUUGGUGUGUGCUUGGAUGGGAAAGAAAAGCUCCACUGACGUGUAGGAGAUUGUUUUUAAGUGGAAUCCAUUUAAACCCAAAACAGUUAUGUAAAGCAAGGUGAAGAACAUGAAGCUGUUUCUGUAUUCAUUUUAUUCUGAAGGACCUGCGUCUUGGGUGAAAGUUAUGACCAACCAGAUUAAUUCUACCCACAUCCUGUAUUUUAAGGUCUAAGUUUAACUGGUCAAUAUUUAAAUGGAUUGGAGCUAUUAGUACAUAAAGCGUGAUGGGCUUUGUUCCCAACUCUUACAUCUCCCCACCCCUUCAGCCUUUUAAACCCCUCUUUCUCUCUUCCAUAUUCUUUGGUUUGUAUGUGGUUUCUCAGUUAAUUCAUAGCUAAUAACUCUUAUUUUCUUAUGUUUUUAACUGCUUAGGUCUAUUUGGAUGUAAGGGUGAAAAUUCAUUGCAUGGAAAUACUUGUGUAUAUUUAAAGACCCAAUUGCUCCUCUGGAGCUUGUAUGUUCAAGAAUGAUUAAUCUGUGUAAUAAACUGAUUACUACAGUCAUUACAUAUA